This 447-nucleotide ribosomal RNA is filed under the name uncultured bacterium. RNAcentral describes it as "partial 16S ribosomal RNA". It matches the Rfam family "Bacterial small subunit ribosomal RNA", at positions 30 to 523 of the family's 1533-position model. The record is from RNAcentral.
AUUGAACGCUGGCGGCAGGCUUAACACAUGCAAGUCGAGCGCCCCGCAAGGGGAGCGGCAGACGGGUGAGUAACGCGUGGGAAUCUACCUUUUGCUACGGAAUAACUCAGGGAAACUUGUGCUAAUACCGUAUGUGCCCUUCGGGGGAAAGAUUUAUCGGCAAAGGAUGAGCCCGCGUUGGAUUAGGUAGUUGGUGGGGUAAUGGCCUACCAAGCCGACGAUCCAUAGCUGGUCUGAGAGGAUGAUCAGCCACAUUGGGACUGAGACACGGCCCAAACUCCUACGGGAGGCAGCAGUGGGGAAUAUUGAACAAUGGGCGCAAGCCUGAUCCAGCCAUGCCGCGUGAGUGAUGAAGGCCCUAGGGUUGUAAAGCUCUUUCACCGGUGAAGAUAAUGACGGUAACCGGAGAAGAAGCCCCGGCUAACUUCGUGCCAGCCGCCGCAGUAA